ACUCUAUCCGGACUACUAGCUCUAGAACUGGCUUGUCGACGGAUAUAGCGCACUUCAAAAAUAUUCUCUUUAUAAAUUUAGUACUACUCUGUACCUCAACUGCCUGCACGUUAUCGGAAGGUAAUUGGCAUAGUCCCUUAUGGCUGGCGACUAAACAGGCAAAUAAUAUUAGAUUAAUUAAUUUUAAUCACAAAUUAUGGUUCUUUACUCUUUUCGGCACAUUGAAGGCUGUCCAGAAAUUAAGGGCACAAUAAUAUUUAAAACUUACAUAAAAUAAAAACUGUUGUGCGGGCUCACGUGGUAAAAGGAAUUAAACUUAAUAAGAAAACGAAAACACUCACUUUUCAAUAAAAAUUUAGAAUAUAUAAUUUGAUUGACAUAGUUAAUAAUACAAUACACGUUAUUUAUUAAUAUUAAUACAAAUGAAUAGAAUAAUAAAAUAGAAUGACAUAGAAUGAUAUAGAAUGAUAUAGAAUGAGUGUAACUAGCGCAUACUAAACCACGACUGACUGUAGGGUACUUACAGUAGAAGUCCUUUGCCCAUUGUUGCCCUAAAACCCUUGGUCAGCACAUUCCUGUGUUCGACGACAGUCGGACGACCAUGUAUUCUAUACUCUACUCAAUUAUAAAAUAAUAUUCAGGGGUUCUUAACAAAACUAUAUUUAUUUCUUAUAAGGACAUUAGGUAACAAUAAAAAUAAAUACUAUUUAUUUGCGGGUAUAAUAUUGAUAAAUCAUCCAAAACAAUGUUCACCAUUUAGGAUGAUAUAAAAAAAACGAUGUCGUAGGGACAAAAUAUUUACUUAUGCUGACGCAGAUUCCAUGUAAGAGGAUAUUGACCAUGAGCUGCAAGCGUCGUCAGAGAGGGUUGAGAGAGAGAUGAUAGAGUCCCCGAUUUUACGAGAAAAAUGGCUUUUUAUAUGCCGGAUAAAGAAAGCCAGCGAUCUCUAUUGAAAUUUCUGAGAUAUUGGAUAAUUAUUUGUGAUAGAAACACUAAUGUGGGUGUAGUUAAUGAAUUGUAGGGGACUGGUUUGAAACAGUUGUUAAUAAAAUGGUUAUUUUGUUUACCCUAAAAGGGAAACAUUCCUUAGAUGAUUUUUUUGUUUUAUUCAUUUAUAUGUGAUAUUUUGUACAUGUGUUAAGAGGUAAUAUCCACCAAUUUUUUUUUCAUUUUUUUUUUUAUUGGCUUAAAUCAUGCUAAAACUAUCCUAGAAUCAAAAUCUUCAACGCCCAAGUACUGAUCUAAACUCAAAAUUCGUUUAAAUCAAUUUUUUCCGAACAACUUUUAUGCUCCAAAAUGACAUUUUUCGCUUAUUUUUGCGAUGCUUGUUUUUUUUUAAUUUCGCGGCUUUGUAAAUUAGUAGAAGUUACCUAUGAUCGAUAUCUUUUUUUGAAUAUGAAGUAUAGAAUUUCGAUCGUUACAGCGACUGUACAGCACGUGUUUACUCACAAUUUCCCUUUGUUUAGUCGAUCAGCCGUUCUAGUUGUGUACGUUCUUAGUUUGAGUUUUCUAUACUUUUUAACUGUGAAUUAUAUUAAAAAGUACUUAAUUAUGAGUAACAAGUUGUACAGUGGCCACAAAGGCAGUAAAACAAGAAGUACCAGAACAACCCGGAGUAAAAUUAGUAACCGACACCCGCCUAACCGCUAUGCGUUCGAAGGCUAUUCGAAAUAAGGCGAAAAAAUUAAAAACUUUUGAUUUAAAUCGUGAUUGCGAUGUUGAUAGGGAUUUCGGUUACUGUUUCAUACGUUUUUUUUCGCUGUAUUUACUGCUCUUUCUAAAUUAUUAGUAUGUAAAAAAUGUAAUAGUGAUGUGCGGUUUUCACAGUCGAGCAAGCGUGAACUAGGCUUCAAGAUUUUUGUGUCUUGUUCGAACUGCGGUGAUGCCGAUAUUUUUAACUGUCCUCUAAUACAUGAUCGUGCUUAUGAGAUCAAUUGCCGUAUUAUUUUUGCUAUGCGCGUCAUUGGCAUAGGCAUCAACGGGGUAAAAAAGUUCUGUGCGAUGAUGGAUCUCGCAAAGCCUGUUCUUCAAACAACUUACAGUAUGAUCAUUUCCAAUAUUGGCACUGUUACUUCAUCUGUUAAAAUUAUUUCUAUGAAAAAAUCAGCUAUUGAAGAGAAAGAACGUUCUAUUGAACGAGGUGAAGAAGGCGGUCUUACGGUGUCAGGCAAUGGAUCUUGGCGUAAGAGGGGGUUUUCAUCUUUGUUUGGAUUAGUUACUUUGAUUGGUUGGCACACUGGCAAGGUAUUAGAUGUGUGUGUAAAAUCAAAGUACUGUAAAGUGUGUGAAUAUUGGUAAAAAAAAGAAGGUACUGCUGAGUACGAGGAGGUGUACCCUUCGCACAAAGAGAGUGUUCUUGGUGUUCUUGACAGCACAGUAAAGCGCUUGGUACUCUUGCAACGUACGAGCACAAGAGUCCAAUGCAUGAGGAUGUUUUCAAGGCGAUACAACCCAUGUAUAAAGAACUCAGCUCCGACAAAUUUCAGUCACGCUGCUUGGGUGCGUAUUCUCAAAAUAGUAACGAGUAUUUCAAUGCUGUAGUGUGGUUAAUUGCUCCAAAAACUAUAUCUUGCGAUAAGACUAUAGUUGAUAUUGCGACUGAUGUAGCCGUUAUUACCUUCAACGAAGGUUGAUCGGGUAUGUUUGCCAUUUAUGAUGCUCUUGGGUUAACUGUUGGACCGAACAUGUACGAGUUUUGCGUAAAGUCGCUGAUCAUCGUAUGUCCGAUAUCGCGAAAGAAGCUAGGAGCAGCCUUACAUCAGACAAAAAAAAGGAAGAAGAGGAAAAUAAGGACCAGGAAAGACAACUUUACAGCGCAGGGAUAGCUGACUAAAGGAAAAUCCAUUUUCACAACAGGAUAUACUUGAACUUCAAAAUAUUUAUUCACUAUUUCCGAAUGACGGUAAAGCUAUUACAAAGUUAGAUUUCGAAGAUUUAUUUGGUACAAUAAAUCACUUUAAGACCAUUCAAAAAAAAGGCCAGACGAUUGAUUUUAUUAAAUUCAUAUUCUACACGUGUAAAAAAUUAUGGAAAAACAAUCAACAUAAAACAAUUGGUGAUAUUUUUAAACUAUUUGAUAAAGAUAAUGACAAUUAUAUCGGACAUAAUGAUUUAUAUGAAAGAAUGAAGGAGUUUACUAACAUAUGUAUACUAGAUAUACAUCUAGAGCAACUAUUCAAUAUUGUCGAAUUAAAAGAAAACAAAUUAAUCACUAUACAAGAGUUCCGUAAUCUAAUGAAUCGCUAUCAAAAUAAGAAGUUAUGAAUAAUUAUACAAUACUAUUGUGUACAAUUUUGUAUAUUACAAAAUAAAUGAUGUAGUACUAUAAUAUUUGAUGUAUUUUAAUCUUAAUUUGUCUAUUAUACGAGUAAAACAACUUAUUUGUGUCUUGCAAAUUCUAUCGUUAAAAUCUGGUCACCGAUUGUCUCUCCCAUCACUGGUCUAGUCAAUCCGUCAGGAUAGCGGUUACACACUAAAAAAUCAUAGUCUCUUGCAUAGUAAAAUGAAUAAGAAGUAUGCUCGAUCACAGUCCGCAUUUUGUCGUAGUACACGCAAGUGCAUCGCCUUAUGUUUUUGCGCAUUCGUAUACGAUCGGUGAAAUACGACCGCUGCCGAAUGCACUUUAAAAUCGCGCGAUUUUUAAAUUGAUAAUUCUGAUAUAAUAUAUAUGAUAGACAU
Molecule: long non-coding RNA, 3678 nt
Organism: Daktulosphaira vitifoliae (grape phylloxera)
Lineage: Eukaryota; Metazoa; Arthropoda; Insecta; Hemiptera; Phylloxeridae
Exons: 4
Source: RefSeq, a predicted model, not a curated record